CGGGGCGAGUAACGCGUGGGUAACCUGCCUUGUACUGGGGGACGAGCAGUUGGAAACGACUGCUAAUACCGCAUAAGCGCACAGCUUCGCAUGAAGCAGUGUGAAAAACUCCGGUGGUACAAGAUGGACCCGCGUCUGAUUAGCUGGUUGGUGAGGUAACGGCCCGCCAAGGCGACGAUCAGUAGCCGGCCUGAGAGGGUGAGCGGCCACAUUGGGACUGAGACACGGCCCAA
Molecule: ribosomal RNA, 233 nt
Filed under: uncultured bacterium
Lineage: Bacteria
Description: partial 16S ribosomal RNA
Rfam family: Bacterial small subunit ribosomal RNA
Source: RNAcentral